CCUAAAAGAGAACUUUGAAUCAGUAACUAAAUUCAAUUAUUGUCUGCUUAAGUUUUGCUAGUUGACUAUCGACAGUUGGUUAAGGAGUAAUUAGUUUUGGCUGCUUUGUCUUAGAUCGAGCUGGAAUCUGCAAAGUCUGAAAUUCAGAAAUAGCAUUCUUCAUUUCAGGAUGAGUCUGCUAUAUCCCCAGCUACUACUCCAGAACCUAAAUUGGUGGUUAACUAUAUCCAAACCUUAAGGUCAUCACACAAGUCACUAAAAGAGCAGCUAGAAAAAGCAAAGAAGAAAGAAGCUGCCUUUAUUGUGACACUUGCCAAACGAGAGCAAGAAGUGGCAGAAUUAAAGGUCAGUUUAUAUUCCCAUUUGUUUCACCUCGAGAAUCCUGAGCGUAGUUACUCCGUUAGGUUAGAAAGGCAAUCACCCUCUUUAUUUGCUUUCAUAUUGAUGAUUGUAAAUGUCUAUAAAGAUUUUUACUUGCUUUCACUUCUAUGGAGCUAAGAAGUUGAUCAUUACCCCUCUCCAUGCUCUAUAAUCUUGGAUGGGGGCACAAUCGCGGAACCACUUUUGCAGUCAAUGCGAAUGAUUGACUGCUAUUGCAGCUUGAUGUGUCAGUUAGUUAUCUCAUAAACACCUACCAUGCUAUAAGUUUUCUCAAAUUCCUUUACAAUGGUGAUAUGGGCAUGCAGCCGAUUGUAAAAUUGGAACACAAUCAAUAUAUAGACCCUAGCUUGACUGUUUGUGAUAGUAUUGUCUCUAAAAAUCUAAUAUGCACAAUAAAUAUAUUGACCUACCUUGACUGUUUAUGAUAGUAAUCUCUUUGAAAAUCUAAUAUUUAAAUCCUACUUGAGAUUGUCCUACAUGUUCACCAGCACAGCACCACAGCAGCUCACCAGUACCGCAACACAGAGAACCACGCAGCAGCAGCAGUAGCAGCAGAACCCAGCAAACCCAGCAGCCUGACCCAGAGCAGCCAAACCAGCAAGCAACACAGCACUAUAGCAGAGCAGCAAACACCCAGCACAGCCUGACCAGAGCAGAACAGAAACACAGCAGCUCAAGAACUCAAACCAGUCACCCAGCCAGCCUGAACAUAACAUAGACACAGCCGCAGAAGCAAACAGAUGCCCAGCCAGCCUGAAUAGGACAGGGGCACAGCAGCGCAGCAGAACAGAAACAGCAGCACAGGAAACAGCAGAGCAACAGGUCUUCUUGAACACAUAACAACACAGUAGCCAGCGAGCAGCCACCAACACAAGACAACCUGAACAGAAGCAAAACCAAUCACCCAGCCAACCUGAACAAAGCAAAAGCACAGCCACAGAAGCAAAACAGCCACAGCCAGCAGAGCGGAAACACACCCACCGCCAGCAGAGCAGCCACCAGCACAAGACCAGGACAGCUAGUUAAAUCAAAUGCAAGAAAGGUACUCAGAGAUAAGUCUAGAUUAUUUAAUUUUUUUUGGACGAAAAUUGUAAUA
This is a long non-coding RNA of Chenopodium quinoa (quinoa), 1477 nucleotides long. RefSeq lists it as uncharacterized. The transcript is spliced from 3 exons. NCBI's taxonomy places the organism in Eukaryota, Viridiplantae, Streptophyta, Magnoliopsida, Caryophyllales, Amaranthaceae. The record is from RefSeq and is a predicted model, not a curated record.